This is a small nuclear RNA of Diceros bicornis minor, 103 nucleotides long. The record is from RefSeq and is a predicted model, not a curated record. Lineage: Eukaryota; Metazoa; Chordata; Mammalia; Perissodactyla; Rhinocerotidae.
AUUUUUUUAAAAAAGCAGCACGUAUACUAAAAAUAUUACAGAGGAGAUUAGCAUAGCCCUGUGCAAGGAUGACAUACUGAUGCGUGAAUCAUUCUACAGUUUU